GACGAACGCUGGCGGCGUGCUUAACACAUGCAAGUCGAGCGGUAAGGCCCUUUCGGGGUACGACGAGCGGCGAACGGGUGAGUAACACGUGGGUGACCUCGCCCUCCAGCUCUGGGAGUAAGCCUGGGAAACCGGGUACUAAUACCGGAUAUGACUCCAUGACGCAUGUUGUGGGGUGGAAAGCCUUGUGCGGCUGAGGAUGGGCCCGCGGCCUAUCAGCUUGUUGGUGGGGUGAUGGCCUACCAAGGCGACGACGGGUAGCCGGCCUGAGAGGGCGACCGGCCACACUGGGACUGAGACACGGCCCAGACUCCUACGGGAGGCAGCAGUGGGGAAUCUUGCGCAAUGGGCGAAAGCCUGACGCAGCGACGCCGCGUGAGGGAUGACGGCCUGUGU
This 396-nucleotide ribosomal RNA is filed under the name uncultured bacterium. RNAcentral describes it as "bacterial SSU rRNA". It matches the Rfam family "Bacterial small subunit ribosomal RNA", at positions 28 to 421 of the family's 1533-position model. The record is from RNAcentral.